GAUGAACGCUAGCGGCAGGCUUAAUACAUGCAAGUCGAGGGGUAACAUGGGGUAGCAAUACUCUGAUGACGACCGGCAAACGGGUGCGGAACACGUACGCAACUUUCCCAAACUGGUGAAUAGCCCUCCGAAAGGAGGAUUAAUACACCGUAACAUAACGAGGUGGCAUCAUCUUGUUAUUAUAGCUCCGGCGGUUUUGGAUGGGCGUGCGCCUGAUUAGGUAGUUGGCGGGGUAACGGCCCACCAAGCCUACGAUCAGUAACUGGUGUGAGAGCACGACCAGUCACACGGGCACUGAGACACGGGCCCGACUCCUACGGGAGGCAGCAGUAAGGAAUAUUGGUCAAUGGACGAAAGUCUGAACCAGCCAUGCCGCGUGAAGGAUGAAGG
Molecule: ribosomal RNA, 390 nt
Filed under: uncultured bacterium
Lineage: Bacteria
Description: bacterial SSU rRNA
Rfam family: Bacterial small subunit ribosomal RNA
Source: RNAcentral